This is a long non-coding RNA of Mercenaria mercenaria, 2477 nucleotides long. RefSeq lists it as uncharacterized. The record is from RefSeq and is a predicted model, not a curated record. Lineage: Eukaryota; Metazoa; Mollusca; Bivalvia; Venerida; Veneridae. The transcript has 2 exons.
AUUAAGUAAAUUUAUGUUCUCUUAUGAAAUAAAUUGUUUUAAUUUUGGUGGGUAUCGUCUUGUCUAACAUAACGCAUCACUGCUAAUCCGCACCUGUAUUUGUAUUUAUAGUCGUAUCAGUUCAAAUACUAGUCUGACAAGUUUUAAUCCCACGGGAUUUUCAUGGGCAAAUUUAGUGCAGUGACAAGUACAUUCUUUAUCGGAAAUCCGUAGAGGACAGAUCGUUUACAAAAAUUUAAAGAAGAUUACGACGGAAAACUGCAGCGCUACUGUUUUGAGAAUUCACAAUUGAGAUGAGUAUACAUUAUAUAUUUUCUUUAGAUGUCUGCGCUUAUAACUUUGAUUGCUGAACUUUCUGUUUAUACGGCAUUUGAAUAUGUCCUCUGGAAAGUAAUGGAGACACGUGUUCAUCGUACAAUCAGCAAGUUAUUGGCUAUUUGGUUUUAUUCAAUCACUGACUGAAUCAGUCUGAAGUGAAUUUUAGUUAUAAAAAAAAAUAAAUAAAAAAAAAAUAAAUAAAUAAAAUUAACAGACACAGUGAGCUGACAAACACUCACAGGUAAAACAUGGGUGUGGUCGAGCGUUCUUUUUGUUUGCAUGUACAUACGCAAAAAUGCAGUACGUUAGUUCCUGUACGUUAUUCUCGGUCAUUAUUAUUUAUGGACUUUAAUCAUAUGUACAAUAUGCAUGUACUGGUUUCACCCGAGGUGUAUUGAGGUUUAUGCAUUUCUAACGUACAUUGUUGCGGAAAUAUUUUGUAACAUGAUUUAGUAUCGCUAGGAUUAAUCAAAGAAUUUUGCUUUGUAGCCUAAUAUAAUUAAAAAAAAAAUCACAAACUUUUAAAUCAUUAAAUCAAAUAGAAAUAUACAUUUGGUUGUUUCUUACCAAUUGUCAAAAUUAUACGUUAAAUAUCUUGCUUUAAAUGAUAAAAAACAUGCUGCAUAGUCUAGUUACAGCUUAACAGAUCCGAUGAGAAAGGAGCGACAUACAAUUAAUUGGUUCCAUGCCGUUUUCAACAGUAUUUCAGUCAGAUGGUUAAAGUGUUCGUAGAGACUGCACAUGGGAAAAUUGACGCAGUUCUAGCCUAUACGAUUUGAUGCGGAUUAUCCAUUACGUCAGCAACUGUAACACCAGCAUUAACUCGGCCAAUCUCUGGUAUAAGGGACUGCAGAAAACUAAUGUCGUCAACCGGCUAUUCUCCUAAUGUCUUUAAACAGUUUAGCUAUAGGAGCGGCGUGGCAUGGUCGGGAUCGGCAGCUAUUGGGGCACCUUGUGUUGAAAGGGUCACAAUGGUGAAUCAUACUGCUGAACCCUGCCACAAAAUGUACUGCUGCACCAAACAUGUCACGCCGCUUCUGUAAUCUAUGGUAUAUUAGAGAAUAAACUCUUUACAGUGUGUGUGUAUAAACUCAAUUUUGCUAGUAUGCUUCUGUUGGUACAUUUAAUCAUCAUGGAACAAUACGGUUGAAUGAAACCGGCUUGAUUUUAACUGCAUGUAUUCAUUUAUAAACAUUCCGAAUGUUACUAUCUUUUUCUUUUGGUACUUUGUUUGUUGUUUUUUGUUAAAUUUGGUUUGAAUUUAAGCACGAAGAUAACAUGAAUUAGUGCGGGCGAUAGCAUGCAGGUUCGCCAAAUUCUGGCAUUGUAUUUGCAGAAAGAUGGUCUUAAUGUCAUUUAUUCUGUAAAAAAACAAACAAACAUAAUUGAAAUAUUUUUGUAGGACAUCGUUUUGUACAUCAAUUUAUAAUUCGAUGACAGCUCAUGAACAUUACCCAGUUUUUCGUGUUGUUUUUGUUCUGUUUGGCACAUUUAUUUUAUCUACUAGAAACAUUGAUGAUAGUAAAUACUCGGAAAGCAGGGGGUGGAGAGAGCCUUUUCGCUGGUCAGAGCCUCGGAUUCUCCCUACCUCCCCCCUCUUAUAUAAAAAUAUCAUAAAAAAUAGAAAAGAGUUAGGGUUGGGGCAGCCGGCUCGCAGCAUACGAUUAACCUGUCUUUCUGGGUAGUUUUUAGAUGAAAUUAAAACAAAAAAUAAUAAUUAUAAUAAUAAUAAUGCGUAAAGAUUAAGAUAACAUGACAAGUAUUUGUCAUAUUACAUAUGAAUUGUCCAUUCUGUAUUCUGUCUUACUGCAUAUGUUCAUAAAUAGUCCGGUAUAUUUUAUGUUUCUUUCGGCAUAUUGAUUGCUUAAGUACAUGCAUAUUUGGAAAGAAUUAUGAUAUUUCUGUCUAUAUAUAUUUCGAAGGCGUUCUAUUGGUGCAUUGUGUUAUUGGGAUAUUGAUUGUUAUAUGAACAGUAGUUAACCACCACCUUUGAAACCAGUUUAAGUUGUUUGUUUGGUAUUAGUUAUAUAGUAAAGGAAAGAAAUAAGGCGUGUAUGCGUAUAUAAACUUGAUUUUAUUAGUAAACAUACAUUAUUUGCAUUGAUCUGAUUUCAUCAAUUUAGAAUUUUUAUUGUCGUGACUUAAAUGGCGCUUACAAA